AAAUUGAAGAGUUUGAUCAUGGCUCAGAUUGAACGCUGGCGGCAGGCCUAACACAUGCAAGUCGAACGGUAACAGGAAGCAGCUUGCUGCUUCGCUGACGAGUGGCGGACGGGUGAGUAAUGUCUGGGAAACUGCCUGAUGGAGGGGGAUAACUACUGGAAACGGUAGCUAAUACCGCAUAACGUCGCAAGACCAAAGAGGGGGACCUUCGGGCCUCUUGCCAUCGGAUGUGCCCAGAUGGGAUUAGCUAGUAGGUGGGGUAACGGCUCACCUAGGCGACGAUCCCUAGCUGG
This 293-nucleotide ribosomal RNA is filed under the name Escherichia coli. RNAcentral's name for it is "partial 16S ribosomal RNA". It matches the Rfam family "Bacterial small subunit ribosomal RNA", at positions 1 to 290 of the family's 1533-position model. The record is from RNAcentral. Lineage: Bacteria; Pseudomonadati; Pseudomonadota; Gammaproteobacteria; Enterobacterales; Enterobacteriaceae.